Molecule: ribosomal RNA, 433 nt
Filed under: uncultured bacterium
Lineage: Bacteria
Description: partial 16S ribosomal RNA
Rfam family: Bacterial small subunit ribosomal RNA
Source: RNAcentral
AACGAACGCUGGCGGCAGGCCUAACACAUGCAAGUCGAGCGAGGACUUCGGGUCUAGCGGCGGACGGGGGAGUAACGCGUGGGAAUGUGCCCUUCUCUACGGAAUAGCCCUGGGAAACUGGGAGUAAUACCGUAUACGCUCUUUCGGGGUGAGAUCUAUCGGAGAAGGAUCAGCCCGCGUUGGAUUAGGUGGUUGGUGGGGGAAUGGCCUACCAAGCCGAGGAUCCAUAGCUGGUUGGAGAGGAUGAUCAGCAACGCUGGAACUGAGACACGGCCUAGACCCCUACGGGGGGCAGCAGUGGGGAAUCUUAGACGAGGAGGGCAACCCUAAUCUCGCCACGCCGCGUGAGUGAUGAAGGCCUUAGUGAUGUAAAUCUCUUUGAGCUGAGAAGAGAAUGACGGUACCAGCAAAAGAAGCCCCGGCUAACUCCGUG